GAACACACCCUUGCCAAGUUCAAUUUUACUUUCUCUUCUCUCUCCUCUUUGACUAGUCAAAACUUCUCUCUCUUAUCUCUUCUUCUCUCUCCUCUCUCUUCUCCCUCAUCCCACGUGAUCUUCUUCUUCUUCGUUCUUCUUUGUGCGAACGAGACCAAAACCAGCAAAGAAGAAAAUUAGCUCGCCGAAGCUCAUCACCGCUGCACCGGAGCCGGACCACCACCCGCGCAACACUCGCCCGCGCACGCCGCGUGCUCCGCCACCGCCCCUUCACGUGUGCCGUCCUCGCCGUGCACCAUUCAGCCUCUACUCAGCCCGUGUUCCGCCCCGUCCGGCCACCUCCGGCCACUGUGGGCCACCGCUCGGCCUCGCCAAGCCACCACCCGCUCUCCCGACCUCUUGCCGCCCCCAACCCUCUCUCUUUCUUGCUGUUUUGCGGCCGAACCAGCAAACCCGCGAGUGGGUUUCCAGCCGGUUCGUGGGCCGUUUUGGGCCGUUUCCAGGCCCCGGAUGCGCAAGUCGCUUUGGGAAGUUUCGUUCCUCGCGUCGCCCCCGUCGGAUUGAUCCGAUUUGCGUGCGAUUUGGAUUCCGUUGAGGAGUUGAGGAGGAGGAGUCUGAGAAGGAGAACUCGAAGGCGAACUUGAGGAAAAUGAUUUUUGGAAGAAGAAGAUAAUUCCGAAGGGGGUCUUGAGUACGACCCAGAUGGACUGAGAGUCUAUCUUCUUUUGAGAAUUCCUUUUGAAGUGAAUAGUUAUGAAGUGGUUUGUGUUUUGUAUAAAAGUUUGGCUAUAAGUUUCAAUAUGAAAAAUAUGGCCCUGCUUUUCUA
Long non-coding RNA from Eucalyptus grandis, 826 nucleotides. RefSeq lists it as uncharacterized. The record is from RefSeq and is a predicted model, not a curated record. NCBI's taxonomy places the organism in Eukaryota, Viridiplantae, Streptophyta, Magnoliopsida, Myrtales, Myrtaceae. The transcript is spliced from 2 exons.